AGAGUUUGAUCAUGGCUCAGAUUGAACGCUGGCGGAAUGCUUAACACAUGCAAGUCGAGGGGCAGCGGGGAAAAGCUUGCUUUUCCGCCGGCGACCGGCGCACGGGUGCGGAACGCGUAUGGAACCUGCCCCUGUCAGGGGAAUAGCCCAGGGAAACUUGGAUUAAUGCCCCAUGGUACCGUUAUAUCGCAUGAUAUUGCGGUUAAAGAUUUAUCGGACAGGGAUGGCCAUGCGUACCAUUAGUUAGUUGGUGAGGUAACGGCUCACCAAGGCAGCGAUGGUUAGGGGCCCUGAGAGGGGGAUCCCCCACACUGGUACUGAGACACGGACCAGACUCCUACGGGAGGCAGCAGUGAGGAAUAUUGGACAAUGGGCGGGAGCCUGAUCCAGCCAUGCCGCGUGCAGGAUGACGGCCCUAUGGGUUGUAAACUGCUUUUAUACGGGAAGAAACGCGCCCACGUGUGGGCGUUUGACGGUACCGUAAGAAUAAGGACCGGCUAACUCCGUGCCAGCCGCCGCGGUAAUUC
RNAcentral lists this ribosomal RNA (527 nucleotides) under uncultured bacterium. RNAcentral's name for it is "bacterial SSU rRNA". It matches the Rfam family "Bacterial small subunit ribosomal RNA", at positions 8 to 526 of the family's 1533-position model. The record is from RNAcentral.